Molecule: long non-coding RNA, 1485 nt
Organism: Cyprinus carpio carpio
Lineage: Eukaryota; Metazoa; Chordata; Actinopteri; Cypriniformes; Cyprinidae
Source: Ensembl
GGUAACUGAUGGAUCAGGAUUUAUGCUUUCUGUCUUCGGAGUCCAUCUGCAUUUGGUCUGACAGCUGCUAACUGACAGUUUACAUGGGGAAAUUGAUGGAGUGCACUGCGGUCUAGAAAUGGGAGGAAGAACUGCAGAUAAAGGAAUAAUGCCAUAGCACUGAAGUGAAGAAGAUCCACUCUCCAGGGAACACAUCUCAACAGACUCAGACACAUGGGAGAAUUGCAGCUUGGUCUUCGCCCACAAAAUUACAUUUGAGGUCCGCUGGGACAUCAGCCGAUGGGUGUGUUACUAAAAGAAACAGAUUCAAAUUCUCUCCCAUGAAAAUGUUUUUUUCUCUGUGUCAGUAAAUCAAAAUAUUAAGUAAGCAGCAGAAAUGUUGCCAGCGUGAACUUGGGCCUGCUGUCGCAGUUAAUGUGCUGAUUCACUUACAUACUGCUUAAGCAUACAAUGCCAAACAGGCCUAAGUUUCAGGAUCUCGUGGUGUGUGUCUCUGGAGGGUUUAGACCAUGUUAAGUGAUUCACUGGAAGAGAAGAGGGCCACUGGGAGAGAAAGUAAGAUGAUGAGAUGGAUGGUUGUAGAGAGGUCGAAGGAGGUAAAGGGACCUAACUCAUUGCUGACCCCUGCAGGCUUGCUUUCCGGCGCCUCUUAAUCUCAAUCAGCAAGGAACGAGGGCUCAUCAGUCAUUAGCAAGGAUGAUGACCAGCGUGAUUGUGCUUUAGAAACCUGUCUCAGCCUCCAGCUAAACUACUCAUCCAUGACCAAUCGAUGGUAGUGGGGCCCACGGAGGAAGAUUCAAAGUGUGUGUACGUGCGCCUGGUCACCCCCAUCCCAGGUCCCCUAUGGAGCUCAGCCAACCUUUAUUACUGAGCAAAAGAGGGAAACAGGCCUGUCACAGGCAAAGUGAUAAAGCAUCAUUACCACACUGCAGAGGAGGAAUGAGGGCAGCCUGCUCUGACACAACUCCUUUCAUAAAGAGCUUCACGCCGGCAUAUUGGACAGACAGUCAAAGAGCUCCAACAAAGAACAAAAUGACUAGUCCGGCCAAAUCCUAUGCUGGUAUUGACAUACCCUCUUUCAUUAUACCCCACUGUGGUGUACUGCACCACAGGCAGGGCUCAGGCUCAGGCUGGUGUGACUUUACGGACGUUGCCAUCGGAUCUUUCACAUGACAGAUGGAAUAUUUAAUUUCACAUAGCAAGUGCUUUGCACCGUAACAUGAUGAAUCAGAACGAUCUGGGCAUAAGUGAGAGAGUCAACCAUCAUUUAAGACUGUUGAGCCAUUAGGACGUUUGACUGCCUGUAUACAUACUGUAUAAAACAUUAGCACUAUACAUUAACAUUAUAUAUUGUAUUAAUAAUAUUAUAUUAUAUUAUUAUAUUAUAUUAUUAUUAUUUGUCAUUCGUAGUAAUAAUUACUUAUUAUUAUAUUAUUACUCUGGAUUUCCGGAAAACUGUAGUUCUAAACUAAUAGUAAUUUGAUA